GGCUAUAGCUCAGCGGAUUAGAGCAACUGCCUUCUAAGCAGUGGGUCGUGGGUUCGAUUCCCUCUAGC
RNAcentral lists this transfer RNA (68 nucleotides) under bovine gut metagenome. It matches the Rfam family "tRNA". From Rfam's summary of the family: Transfer RNA (tRNA) molecules are approximately 80 nucleotides in length. The record is from RNAcentral.